This is a long non-coding RNA of Mastomys coucha (southern multimammate mouse), 358 nucleotides long. RefSeq lists it as uncharacterized. NCBI's taxonomy places the organism in Eukaryota, Metazoa, Chordata, Mammalia, Rodentia, Muridae. The transcript has 2 exons. The record is from RefSeq and is a predicted model, not a curated record.
CAGCUGAGAGGAGUGGGCGAGUCAGGUUAUGACUGAAAGGUUGGGAUUCCCCAGCUCAGCUCAGGGAUCAGGGCAGCCAUGCAGCUGGUUAAGAACGUGCCUUCUGAUGCUUCAGAGCGUGAAUGUUCCAGCAUACAUCCUUUCUCUCUGGCAGGCAGUUAAGAUGGCGGACCACCCUCUGUCCUAACCACAGAGACCACUGGUUUGGACCAAGACCAGGCUGUACACGUUUGCAUUCCCUGACCUAUCAUGCUUGUCCAGAAGUGUCCAGGAGCUGAACAUUACAAUAUCUGAUUCUCUCCUACCACUAUUGACCCUCCAGAGAAAAACCCAAAAGACAAGUUUAUUUUAUCAUGUG